This 403-nucleotide unclassified non-coding RNA is filed under the name soil metagenome. Its description in RNAcentral is "partial contains 5.8S ribosomal RNA, internal transcribed spacer 2, and large subunit ribosomal RNA". The stretch from base 2 to 121 matches the Rfam family "5.8S ribosomal RNA", at positions 37 to 154 of the family's 154-position model. The record is from RNAcentral.
GUGAAGAACGCAGCAAAAUGCGAUACUUGGUGUGAAUUGCAGAAUCCCGUGAACCAUCGAGUUUUUGAACGCAAGUUGCGCCCGAAGCCUUUUGGCCGAGGGCACGUCUGCCUGGGCGUCACGCAUCGCGUCGCCCCCCACAAUUCUCCGUAAAGGGAACAUGUGUUUUGGGGGCGGAUAUUGGUCUCCCGUGCUCAUGGCGUGGUUGGCCGAAAUAGGAGUCCUUUCGAUGGACGCACGAACUAGUGGUGGUCGUAAAAACCCUCGUCUUUUGUUUCGUGCUGUUGGUCGCAAGGUAAACUCUUUAAAAACCCCAAUGUGUCGUCUCUUGACGACGCUUCGACCGCGACCCCAGGUCAGGCGGGACUACCCGCUGAGUUUAAGCAUAUCAAUAAGCGGAGGA